UUGCAUCAGGGUUUAUUAAUUUAAUAAAGUUAUCUUUUUUUCUCGAAACUUUAAGAUUUAAUUUAAAAUAAUUUUUUUUAUUAUAAAACAUUUUUUAAUUUUAAGUUAGGGGUUAUAUGCUUUUCAUUUAAAGUUAUAUCUAGUUGAUUAAUAAUUGAAUUUAAUUCAUUUUCAUUAAGUUUUAAUUAAAUUUAAUUUUAAAGAUUUUUUGAAGUAAAUUUUUUGGGGAUAAGCUCAAAUUUAUUUUUUAAAACAUUUAUUAAUUAAAAGAUUUUUUUUAGGAUUUAAAAUUUUCAUUUUAUUUUGUUAUAAUAAUUUUUCUUUUUUAAAGAUUUAUAUUUGUUUAAUUAUUUAUUAAUUUAUAUAUAUAAAUUUAUAUUUUUUAUAAAAAAUGAUAAAAUUAGUAAUUUUUUUAAUUGAAAAUCAGGAAUUCGGCAAAAUUAAUUUUCACCUGUUUAACAAAAACAUGGUCUUUUGUUUUUUAUUUAAGAUCAGGCCUGCCCAUUGAUUUAUUAAUUAAAAGGCUGCAGUAUUUUAACUGUACUAAGGUAGCAUAAUCAUUUGUCUUUUAAUUGAAGGCUAGAAUGAAUGGUUUGAUGAAAAAUUUUCUUUCUUAUUUUUAUUUAAUUUAAAUUAAUUUUUUAGUUAAAAAGCUAAAAUUUUUUUAUAGGACGAGAAGACCCUUUAGAAAUUAACUUUUUUUAAAAAGUUUUAUUUUUUUUAUAAAUAUAAAUUUUUGAUUAAAAAGUUUUGUUGGGGUGACAGUUAAAUUUUAUUAACUUUAAUUUUUUUAUUUUCAUAAAUUCAUGUUUUUUUGAUCCAAAAUUUUUGAUUAUAAGAAUAAUUUACCUAAGGGAUAACAGCGUAAUUUUUUUUGAGAGUUCAUAUCGAUGAAAAAGUUUGCGACCUCGAUGUUGAAUUAAGAUAAGAUUUGGGUGUAGAUUUUCAAUUUUCUUGGUCUGUUCGACCAUUAAAUUCUUACAUGAUUUGAGUUCAGACCGGCGUGAGCCAGGUCGGUUUCUAUCCUUAAUUAAUAUAAAUUAGUACGAAAGGACCAUUUAUUUCAAUAAAAUUGUUUUUAUUUUUGAAUAA
RNAcentral lists this ribosomal RNA (1092 nucleotides) under Microvelia sp. 1 WT-2019. Its description in RNAcentral is "partial 16S ribosomal RNA". The stretch from base 856 to 1015 matches the Rfam family "Archaeal large subunit ribosomal RNA", at positions 2542 to 2701 of the family's 2987-position model. Lineage: Eukaryota; Metazoa; Arthropoda; Insecta; Hemiptera; Veliidae. The record is from RNAcentral.